This is a long non-coding RNA of Oncorhynchus nerka (sockeye salmon), 7898 nucleotides long. RefSeq lists it as uncharacterized. The transcript has 2 exons. NCBI's taxonomy places the organism in Eukaryota, Metazoa, Chordata, Actinopteri, Salmoniformes, Salmonidae. The record is from RefSeq and is a predicted model, not a curated record.
ACAGAUUAUAACUAUAUAUGGACAUACUAUAAAAUAUGAAAAGGCUUAUUCAUUCACAUUUUUCUAGGGGACACACACACACACACACUACCACAUUAAAAUAUUGCCCUCUUGCUAGAUUGAUGACUAAGACCACAGCGAAACAGUGCAAGACUCAGAGGACUUAGUGCUUGAGGUAGUCACCUCAUACAAGUACUUGGGGGUAUUGUAGAGGACUGCUAAUUCCUAUGUAGGUGACAUUACAUUACUGCUAAUUCCUAUGUAGGUGACAUUACACUACUAUAGCUGAGACACAUAGUAAAACAGGUCGGGCCCCAUACAGGAUAUUUCUCACACACACACUCACUGUAAUCAUCCAGAACACUGUCACAACAGGAUACUCCUAGCCACAGGUGCUAGCCGGCAGUUCGGCCACAACUCCCCUGAAGAUAGGGACGCACACACUUUACACACUGACCCCAGAAGACAGGGACGACGCACAUACAGUACACACAUAGCUGCCGAGGACACCCAGAUAAGACACCCACAGAUUGGCAGAAAGCCUAGACUUAGUGACUGAAGAUAGCGCACACACCAGAUCUCCUUUUCAGCUGAACAUGGUGUGACGACCAAGAACAGGCAUGGCAGGAUUCUACGAUGACGGACAGACAACAGAGCCAAUGCCGGAUGACUAUACCCCAGCCUGAUCCAAUCCGAAGAUCCGAUCUCCUAGAUAUCAACCUACUUUCUGUUCUGUAUAUGAAGCUUGUACCCAUUGUUAACUAGUGUCUUUUUUUGCUAGUCUCUGAUGAGCUAACAGAGGGGCCCGUAUAUACGCUGUACCAGAUAUCUCCACUUUGAAAUAAACCUGUCGCUUGUCGUACAAUCUACCACCUUGUCUGCAUCGAUCCUUGACCGACUCACCCUUUAUCAUAUCCCAUUAUCAACAGAAAUGGUAGCAGAGGAUGGUUUAAUAACGAUCCAUCAAAGUGAGUUGAUUUGGGUGUGAGAGGGCGAGAGGGUGAAAGGACGAUUCACGGAGGACAGAGGUGAAGGAAUUCGGGGGAGGACAACAAUUCUGCUCAACUCGGUAAACUGAUCUCAAGGCGCACCACAAACAAGGUAAGCAAAACCUGUUAAAUCAAACUUUGCAUAUUUUCGUAUAGUCUUGUCUAAAUUUUGAUCAGUAUUACCGAGUGAGUAUGAAUUCUUGUGUAAAUUUAUAAUUUGCUGACAAGUUGAAAGUACAGUAAAGUGAAUAUAUGUGGUGACAAACCGGUGACGACCGGGUGAUCUAAAUCAUUGAUGAGAUAUCAGUAGGGGGUCAGCACAGUCUGAUGGCUUUCAAUGAUGAGAGAUCACUUAAAGGCCUAGGAUAGUUCCGAUAGGGGUCAGGAAUAGAGAUCAGUAAGGGGAUAGUUAACUACUAUUCAUUAAACCUGGCGCCGAGGGGGACAAAUUGUAAUUUUGUCCUGUGGCCCGGUCUAGGCCAGUCUGAUAAGAGAUUCUCUGAUAGGGGUCGGACAUCGUGUAAUAAACUCUGAUAGGGGUCAGCUCGAUAUGGAUCAGGAAUAGAGAUCAGUAGGGGAUAGUUAACUACUAUUCAUUAAACCUGGCGCCGAGGGGGACAAAUUGUAAUUUUGUCCUGCGGCCCGGUCUAGGCCAGUCUGAUAAGAGAUUCGCUGAUAAGGAUCGGCUUUCAGGGGUCAGAGAUAUAACGUGUUGUUUUGUCUUGUUUUGUCUAUUUGUAACUGUUUAUAUUAAAAUGCAAUGUGCUUGUAAUUGUUUCCAUUAAGAUUGUUGGUGGUUAGAUAGAGAGAGAGAGAGAGAAUUCAAUAAGGGUUAUUUGAUAAAUCCGAAACUUCUAUGUUGUAUGUACCUAUGACUUCUGUGUUAAAUGUAUAAUCAGGAACAAAAUGACUGAUGUAUAAUUGAAAUAAUAUCUGAGCACAAUAUUCAAUAUCGAGACUAAAUAGUCGAAUUGAUCUCUAUACAAACCCAUGCGUUUUUUCUCAAACUGAAUAUACGAGGGAGCAGCUCUGAGAUAAGGCAGAGUACGUGGCUCCAGGAAUUCAUCACGGGUAUUUACCAGUGACAGGCUAAGUAUACUCAGAUAGUCUGAAUAUAUAUUUCAAUUGGUCAAAAUAUACAUAUAUACUUACUAAAAUAUACAAUACAUGACAAAUGGUGACCCCGAAGUGGUCUGGUAAAAGGACAUCGCUGGACAUUGGUGUGCCAGCCGAUUGGCCAGUACUGUCGUCGUCUCACAAAUCCUGACCGGUCAAAUAAAAAGGGUAAGCAGACACCUGUUGUGAAAAACUAAAGUUCUGCACAUUGGAGUUAUCCAAAUUUAGUUUGGUGAGAUACCUGUUUGAUGUAAGUUACUAAAUUUAAACUACAAUGAUGUGUGAGAUUGGAAAAUAGUUGAGAAAGUAAUAUCUCCAUUGGCAACUGCAAUUUUAUUAUUGAUCAACCAUACUUAAUGGUGCAUUGUGUAUGGGAUGUACUAGUAUGCCUGGCUGGUAGGUGGUAACAGAGAACACUUACUACAUGUAUGAAUGAUGGGUAACGGGUGGCCACCAAAGCUUGAAUGGAUAGUCUGGGACUACAUGUAUGAGUGGUGGGUAACGAGUGAUCACCAACUAAUUGGGGGCCGAUUUAGCCGUAGGGAAAGGGUAUCACUUGGGUUUCAGUAAAGGCAUGGGUUGUUGGCAGUAUUGUAGUGUACAUGGAAUGUCGUUGGAAAUAGAAAAGGGGUUGAGAACGCUGAAGUCCAUUCUAGAAUUCAAUAAAGGCAGAGAGGAUAAGGAGUGGAGGAGACGGGGUGAGAAGCUGUACAGAGAAUGGACAGAAGGUGGGGCUAUUGCAUCUCCUACUGGUCUGCUUGCUGGGGAGAACGAAGAUUUGUGUGUGUCUGGUGUAAAUUGAAGUUUACGGGCGUAAAUGAAGAUUUGUGGAGCUGGUACCGGUGAGAAUGUUGAAAAAGUCGCAGGCUUGCUGAUGAGAGUUAUAUCAUAGAAUAUUGGGGGGUGUGCAUGACUGUUGGAAAAGGUGUUCAACUCUAUUAACGUAAAAUUCUGUGUGUAGAGUUAUAUUAUGAGGUUUGAACUAUACUAAUAUUGUGGAAUUACAUAAUCAACAUCUGAACAUACUUACGUUAAACAUUAAUUGAGCCACUGAGUAAUAGAUAAGAUAUACACUAGGUACGGGGCGACGGGUGUGGUCGAUGUAAGACGGGAGUGGUGUUCUAACCAAGUGCUGAGAAAUAAGGUAGAUUUAUUUUGUUCUUUUAAUUAAUUUACACAAGUACUUCCCGGUUAUUGAUUUUGGUUUGAUUGUUCAGAUAACACCACUGAAAUUAAACAGGAGGUUAAGGUAUACUAACAUUAGAAUCUGUUUUCAUUAUGGGGAACAAUGGAAGGCCCGCAGAGGGGAUUGCAGGCUGAGGUUUUUAUGUUAAAGGGACAGUGCACGUUUAUCACAGUUGUUUGUGUGUCUAAUGGCUGGGUAUCUAAGAAGUAUUUUUGGGGAGACAAUUUGGAGAAACACGAAUAAAACAUGAAACACAGAGACAAAUUAUUUGAGUUUGAGGGGAUUAUCAUAAUUAUUAGGUUUUGUUUUUGUAGUAAACGUUUGGGUUAAGGGGAUUUUCACGUUCCCAGAGACAUGGUAUUUUACAGAUAGGGGAAAAGGCAGACGGAGGGGCCCUCCGCCCGCACUGCAGAGACCUUGAAAGUUGGAGAGAGCAGAGGAGAGGUUUUGGAAAGGGGGGCAGGACAGGCAAAGAUAACAGUUGCUGAGUGGAGACAGGGAGAGAGUUGGACAUGUGGAAAAUGAUGGGGGCGCUCCUUCAUGAUGAUGUCAGACAUAAGGAUAAUAUACUAAUCUUACCUAAGUCAUGAUUUAGAGUAGGUAAGGUUGUUACCUGGGCAGAGCCAGGUAUCAAAAGGGGGAUGGGUAAAUGUGGACUAGGAUAGGAUGGGGCCGAUUGGAUAAGAAACUAAUAAUUAAAUAUGUAAGCUAACAAUUGGGCAUAGAAGUUAAAGAUAUAAUCAGAUAAAACAUAUGAGAAAUUGUUUGUUAACCAAGCCUGUAUGUCCAGGAUUUUAUGCAUUACAGGUGAACUACAGGUGAAGUCACUCAAUCCAGUCCCAGAGGCUUGGGGACCAUAGAUGACCCCUGGUGACAGCUAGCUGAAAGAGCUACCCAGAUUCAUAUCGCACGGCGGAAGGGUAAGACACUUUUUCACUGUCGGACAUUAAAACAGUGUUCGAGAGAAGAACUGGAAUUAACAGAAUUCCGGGGGCCAACUCUCGAAUGAAGUAACCCUAACUGUCCUAUCACCCCUGUUUUUGUUCAUAGAAGUGAGGAUGUGUCUGGCUCUGGCUAAGUGAUGUGUAUUUUGUUCCAAAAUAAGCAUAAGAGAUCCCUAGAUCUGGGUAUUUGUAAGUCGCUCUGGAUAAGAGCGUCUGCUAAAUGACUUAAAUGUAAAUGUAAAUAUAGACAAGAAGUUAGAGUAGAGAUUACAUGAUAACCGACUUCGGACAGUUCUAGGAUUGGAGAAGAGGGUAUCCUUAUAGCAUGGGGAUCCACAAGGGUGGAUAGGUUUUCCAUGAUAUGGGGAAACCUGGGAGCAAUGUUGAACUUUGUAAAGGUGAUGAAAUCCUACUAACCAUCAAAACUAUUAAGCUCUCUGAUGCAGGCACUCACACCCUCGGACUACAAAGGACGAGGACAGACAUGAUGGGUGUGUUUUCUAUUAAGGUACUGCCAAGACCAGAGGUAACCGGACACACUCCUCUACCACCACUGUGUUAAAAAUACCAUUCAGGUAAUUAAUGUUAGAGACUAUUCGGCUAUUGAUCAAUUAGGAACUGAGACUGGUUUUGAUAGUAGGGACAAUUUGUGGCUGUCUUAUAUGAGGUACACAGCUAAAACCCUGAGAGGAAAGGACUGCAUUAUUUGUAGUCAUGCUAGACCUGUUCUGGCUACACACCCAUUUGCUGCAGGAGAAGGAGAGGGGUGGUUGUGUAUUCUGAGAAGUUUUUACCAGGUUAAGCCCAAUUCAACCCUCUGUUCCUCUUUGAGCCUUGUGUUUCCUGCAGUACCUCCUCAUCGGGCCAUUUGGGGUGUUGAGGCAUGGGGGGGGAAAUUGCAGUUGCAUCACGGGUACAGGUAAUGGCAUUGAUUAUGGGAGAUUGCCUGAAGCUGAUUGCAGUAGUAACAUAACCAUUAAUUCCACUUGGCCAGUUACAGGCUGAUGUGAGGUGGAUGAGUGGAGCCAAGAGUGCUGAGACCCAUUCUUAGAGGAGAAUGGCAAGGUAUGUGUGCUCUGACCAGUUUGAUAAUUCCACUGACCAUUGUUGAUGUUACUGCUGAACAGCUGUUGGGUUCUGUAUCCAAGGGACCUGAAAACAUUCCAUCCCAUGGGAGACAUAGAUGUAGUACUCCAUGGACAGAGAAUGUAGUUGACAUAAACACUAACCUGUUGGGUGUGCCAGUGGGGGUUCCUCAUGAGUUUCAGGCCUUGGGUAGGAAUGAUGGACUCUGGCACUUACUACCUACUAUGGGUCCAGCCAUGGUGGAUGCUAGACAGACUGCAUGGAUUAAUUAUGUCUACUAUAAUCAACUCCCGUGAUGCACUCACUGGUAUGUCUGAACAGCUUGGGGCCACAUUUGGGGUUUCCAGACAGAAUAGACUUGCCUUGGAUAUGCUUCUUGCCAGUCAGGGGGACGUUUGCAAGAUGUUCGGUAAACAAUGUUGCACGUAUAUUCCUAAUAAUACCAGUCCAAAUGAUAUCUAGGGCGGGCUUGAUGCACUAUCUGAUAAGAUGAGGUCCACAGGGAGGGUGGAGGAGUCUGUUCUCUUGGCCUGGUUUGGUAAGUACACUGAUAUGAUGGUUACUGGAUUUCUGACCCUAAUUCUUGUAUUAUUUGUUAUUGAUGUGAUGUGCUGCUUGCAUCAUACCGUGUUCUAAGAAAUAUGUUACAGAUAUGGUGAAGGCUUCAGGCAUGUUGCAUUUGCUUGAUGCUCCAGUUGGAGAUGCCGAUACGGAAGCAUGCUUUCAGGAGAGGAUGGGACUGACUGAGGAUGACCCAUGGUAUGCUGUGGGUGAGGUAGUAGAAUAAUUUUACACCACCACAGUUCCUUGUUAUAAAUUUUUAUGAUAGGUUUUCUUUCCAGUAUGUUUGUUCUCCCUGUUGUAAAGGUUUAGAGUCCCUGGGUGGCAAGGAGCCCACCUGGUACAGGAUAGGAGUAGCUGAGAGGACCAGAUGGUUUCUAAUAAUUCUUUCCUCUGUUUUCCAUGACCAAAGUUUUAUCCUACAUCUUACAUGUCAAUAACAAUAAAGUUUUAUCCUGUUUUUGAUAAGUGACACCCUUGUGGGUGACAAAGGGGGAAACGCAUAUAACAAUAGACAUAUAUCACUUGUUAUUAAUAAUAAACUUUUUAUUAUUUUCAUGAAAUGCUAUGACUGCUGAAAUAAAGGAUAAUGAGUGUCAAAAGGGGGACUUAAAUUUCACACCCUUGGGGUUAUUUUACAUUAUAGCCAUUACCAUAUAUAUGAUUGAAUAUUAUCUGCUGUUGCCUUGGGUGGAUGUGUUUAUGUGUUAUGUUCUCUAGCUGAUUUGAAACAUUGUUAAAAGUAUCAGGGCCAUGGAACUUUCUCAUGCUGGGAAAAUACAGAAGGGAGGGCACAUUCAGAGCGUGGGGUUGCGAGAACAAGCAGUCUUUUGUUAGAUAACAGGAGCCAGGUGCGAGAUAACGGCAUGGAGCAUGAGACCCAUCUUUUAGUUUUUGCAGCCAUUUUAGUGUUGUGCGGCUGCGGUUGCAUUCCAUGUAUCCGGUCCCUUACUGCUAGAGUUAUCUCCAGAGCUAUUGACCCUUCUUCCCUUCCCAGAUGUAUCCUCUGCUUGCUAAUGACCUGCCAGAGUUUGAGGAUGAGGUGGAGAAUACCCAUUAGAAUACCCAUCUCUUUGGAGAUGUGAAGAGAGGGUAUCACAACUUUUUCCUGCUGGAAAAGGUUGGCUUAUGUGGACAAACAUUUUACUUAUAGCUUAGAGCUGUUGUUCUCCGCAAUUGUUAAAUGAGGGUUGUAAGUUCCUAGGUGGCUGGUAGCCAACUUAGUACAUAGUGGGAUUGAGUGGAGAACUUGGUGGUAAUACAUAUACAUCCAUUUAUUUUUAAUGUUGUGCCUUUUUCAUAGCCCCUUUGGGAAAAGUUUUCUUUUGUAUCAGAAUCUAGUUAGGUUGUGUCACGUCUCUGGGGAGACGUGAAGAGAGGGAUUUGUAGAGGACUGCUAAUUCCUAUGUAGGUGACAUUACACUACUAUAGCUGAGACACAUAGUAAAACAGGUCGGGCCCCAUACAGGAUAUUUCUCACACACACACUCACUGUAAUCAUCCAGAACACUGUCACAACAGGAUACUCCUAGCCACAGGUGCUAGCCGGCAGUUCGGCCACAACUCCCCUGAAGAUAGGGACGCACACACUUUACACACUGACCCCAGAAGACAGGGACGACGCACAUACAGUACACACAUAGCUGCCGAGGACACCCAGAUAAGACACCCACAGAUUGGCAGAAAGCCUAGACUUAGUGACUGAAGAUAGCGCACACACCAGAUCUCCUUUUCAGCUGAACAUGGUGUGACGACCAAGAACAGGCAUGGCAGGAUUCUACGAUGACGGACAGACAACAGAGCCAAUGCCGGAUGACUACACCCCAGCCUGAUCCAAUCCGAAGAUCCGAUCUCCUAGAUAUCAACCUACUUUCUGUUCUGUAUAUGAAGCUUGUACCCAUUGUUAACUAGUGUCUUUUUUUGCUAGUCUCUGAUGAGCUAACAGAGGGGCCCGUAUAUACGCUGUACCAGAUAUCUCUACUUUGAAAUAAACCUGUCGCUUGUCGUACAAUCUAC